AUGUUAUCAAGAAAGGUGGAGGGAAAGACCCGUUGAAACCUUAGCAACCCUUUUCGUGAGGAAAAGAAGGUGCUAAAUUCUACUUAAUUUCAGAUUCAUUUAUCAGAAAUUGGAUAGAUAACCC
Molecule: non-coding RNA, 124 nt
Filed under: Polaribacter atrinae
Lineage: Bacteria; Pseudomonadati; Bacteroidota; Flavobacteriia; Flavobacteriales; Flavobacteriaceae
Description: SAM-I sequence
Rfam family: SAM riboswitch aptamer (S box leader)
About the family: The SAM riboswitch is found upstream of a number of genes which code for proteins involved in methionine or cysteine biosynthesis in Gram-positive bacteria. The SAM riboswitch acts at the level of transcription termination control.
Source: Rfam by way of RNAcentral